Anolis carolinensis (green anole) is the source of this 13360-nucleotide long non-coding RNA. RefSeq lists it as uncharacterized. The transcript is spliced from 3 exons. NCBI's taxonomy places the organism in Eukaryota, Metazoa, Chordata, Lepidosauria, Squamata, Anolidae. The record is from RefSeq and is a predicted model, not a curated record.
CUUCCGGAUUCCGCCCGGGCCAGCCGCGUGGAGGCGAGAAGGCGGGCUGCUUUGCUUGUCCCCCAUUUACAUUCCGAAGGCGCCAGGACCGGAGCCCCCUCCUCGCCGCCGCCGCCGCCUCCCCCGACGUCUUCUGAGCGCGCGCCGCUGGUUGUUUUGAAUUUCAACCUGCGCUGGGCGGGGCCAGGGAACACGGCGCUCCUAUUGGCUGGAAAACGUGAGCCGACCUUUAUACGUCAGCGGACUUUCAAAACAAAAUUCGGGCGGGAAAAUAACAGAGGGGGCUUCAAAUUUGAAUUGGGGGCUGUCCUUCGGAUCGAAGGAGUUUUAUUGGGGAUGGGGACAUGGGCACUGCCUUUGACCCUCCUGAAUGCUUACGAACUAAUCACAGAAACUCGUGCUUAAAAUAUAGCAACGGUUCGUCGUGAAGGCAGUCCCUUCCAGAAGAAGGUGUAGCCUCCUUUUUUCCCCUUCAGCUGUCCCUCUCCUGCUCUCUGGAUCUCCUGAAGGGCUGCUAUGUCGAUGUUAAAGCGUCCCAGCUCCCUUGCAACAAUAGCGAUCCUGUGUUCGGGGCAUUCACUGAUGAUAACAUAGUCUGUGCAUGUUCAGAAGAAGACCUACAAACAACUAUAAACACCUUUGUAGAAGCACAGCUUCUCAUUGAACUUCAAGACAACCAAAGUGCUCUUCCAGCCAAUCCCUCUGCAAUGCCAGAAAUACAGCUUAAUAGUGAAACACUAGAAAAUGUUGAUCUUUUCUGCUACCUUGUCAAUCACUUCUCCACAAAAGUCAACAUUGACACUGAAAUACAACACCUUCCAAGCUCUGCGAGUUCAGCAUUCUUCCAAAUGAAGCAGAGAGUGUUUGAAGAUCGGGACAUCUGUAGGGAGACCAAGGUGCUUGUUUAUAAAGCUAUUGUCCCUGUUAUACAUUUGUGAAACAUGGACUGUCUAUAGACGUCACACUCAACUCCUGGAACGAUACCAUCAGCAUUGCCUCUGAAAAAUCCUAUAAAUCUCUUGGGAAGACAAGCAGGCAAAUGUCAGUGUGCUGGAAGAAGCAAAGACCACCAGCAUUGAAGCAAUGCUCCUACGCCAUCAACUCGGCUGGACUGUUGUCCGAAUGCCUGAUCACUCUCCCAAAGCAGUUACUGUACUCCCAACUCAAGAAUGGAAAACGGAAUGUUGGUGGACAAGAAAAGAGAUUUAACAAUGAGCUUAAAGCUAACCUUAAAAACUGUGGCAUAGACACCGUGAACUGGGAAGCCCUGGCCCUUGAGUACUCUAACUUGAGGCCAGCUGUGACCAGCAGUGCUGUGGAAUUCGAAGAGGCACGAAUGGAGGGUGAAAGGGAGAAAUGUGCUGAGGUGGUGUGUCAAGCCAACCCUGACUGGAACCACCUUCCACCUGGAAACCAAUGUCCUCACUGUGGAAGAACAUGCGGGUCAAGAAUAAGGCUCUACUGUCACCUGUGGACCUGCUGCCAAGGCACUACACUUGGAAGGCCACCUACUCGGACGAGAGAUCAUCUAAGACUAUUUUCUGUCAUAAGUGUCUUGCUUUCUGAAAAAGUGUUCAGGAUAUUUGCUGUCUCUGCCCAUAUUUUCUGGGACUCUGCCUAUACUAUGCAAAUUCAUACUUUCUUGUUGACUACCUGGAAAACAGAGGACACCCCUCCCUUGCUUGAUGUGUAACUGAUUGCACCUUGUAGAAAUCUGCUUAAUCAGACUAUUGGUCCAGCUAGUCUGGUGCUGGAAGCAAUAACCAAGAUUUUAGGCUGGAUUAUUUCCUAGCCCCCUACCUGGUAGUUUCCUGUCCAAGUACAUAGCAGAUCUGACCCUACUUAAAUCUUAUAUAAACUGGUGAGAUCAGGUGAGUAUCCAAAUAUAUAUUUUUUAUUUAUUUACAAUAUUUAUAUUCUGCCCUUCUCACCCCGAAGGGGACUGAGAGCAAAUCACAGAACACAUAAAAGGCAAACAUUUAUUGCAGAUUAUAACAAUAACAAGACAGACAAUAGGUAGAGGUAUAUAUAGGAUUUCCAAUCUUUCGGCAUCUUUUGUAGGCUGUGCUUGGUUCCGGCCAUUUGGGGGUGCUGUUGCUCCAUUGCCAAAUAGCAUUGUUGCUCCCUACCAAAUAGCUUUGUUCGUAAACUUCCUCCUUUUCCUGAUCAAAAUGCAAAGCCUAAAUACUUCCCCGCUUUAAUGUGGUUCCUAUUUAUCUACUCACAUUUGUUUUCGAAUUGCUAGGUAGGCAGAAGUUGGGCUAAAGGCCAGGAGCUCACUCUGGCCCAGGCUUCAAACUCUCAACUUUCCAACUGGCAAGAUUUAUUGCAGCUUGGUGAUUAACCUGCUGUGCUAAAGCCUGGCCCUGUCUUGUUGGAUGUGUCAAACAGCUGAACCCAACAGAAAAACUGUUUGUCUGAUGUUAACAUCAUGCCUGACAGAGUUAAUGAACAGUGAUAGAGUUAUCUCAUAAAUUGUGACUUUUAAACUGUGAUGGCCUUAGAAUAUUACGUCCAUGCUUAAUAUUUCUAUCACCGUGCUUAGUUUUAGGGGAAACUGCAAUGGUAAGUCUUGUCUGCAGUGGCCCUGGAUAUUGACAAGUUUGAGACAGACCCUCACUAUUACUGCUCCGUACAAUGUAGUCUCUUCACAAUGAAGUUGGAGGCACUACUAUCGGAUCUAAGGUCACACCAUUCCCUGAUACUACUCACUGGGUCUCCCUGUCCCUUCUGAGAGCCUUGCAGCCAUCGGUGCCUAGCCUAUUGCUUCAACUACUGUAUCUUUCAUAUUAGCUCAUUACUUGCUGUCCAAGAGACAUUAUUACUAUGGCUCCUGCUCUUUUCCUCCAAUCGCACACCCAAUCAAAACAUGUUUGUUCAUGUUUGGGGUCUUGAAUAGCCCUAGGUUGGUAUUCAACCUGCGUGUUCAGAAAAAAGCACUAAACAACCAGAGUACUUUUAUGGCUCCUAUUGUCAAGCCAAUUAAAAUGAAAACCUCUGUAGUAUCUCUAAUGCUAAGCCAGGAGUGAGAAUUAUGAAAGCCUCCAUAUGCUGAAUUGCAAUUCCUAUCAGUCCUAACCAGCAUGCUAAUGGUGAAGAAAGCUGUGUUGUGGUCUAUUAAGGUCUGGAAUGCUAUAAGUUUACUACUCUCCCCUAAGGCAUCACCAUGUCUCUAUGUGGAAAAUGCUUUUUAGGACUGAAAUAAUACAAGUGUCUCUGACUAGCUCACGGGCAUGCCUUUCUGAUUCAAACAUGUAAUGCCCAACUUCAUAGCCCUUUAUGUGGAAUGGCCAAAUCCCCAAAGUUUGUUGCUUCCUCAAUUCCUAUUCCACCUAAAAGAAAUCAUCCCCUGUCUUGUCACUGCAGCGUUUCAACAUAUAUGAAUGUAUGCUAUAUAGUAAGUAUAUAUACUUACUAUGUAGCAUAUAUUCAAACAGUCUGACCUUAAGCUAACGUAUAUUUCAUGUUCUUUGUCAGUCUGUUCAUUUCUGUAUCUUGUGGUGUGCUCAAUAGCUGCAAACACAGGCUGAAGUUUUUAGGCAAGAUAUUUGUGUACAGUACUGAAAAAUACGUAUUCCUGAGGAAUUAGAGCACUAAAUGAGGGGUGAGCCACGUGUAAUGUUUUAAAGAUUUGAUUAAAACAUUGGAGGCAAGGGUUUGAAUCCCUGCUUGGCCUUAAAAACCUACUAGGUACCCUAAUUUUUGGCAGGUGCCAUUCUCUCAGCUUUAGAGGGAGGUAAGAACAAAGAAAUCCUGCCUGUGAUGGGUUCACCUAAGAGUCACCAUAAAUUGGAAAUGACUUGAAGGUACACAAGAAACAACCACCAAGGGACAAAUUUGUUAAACUAGGCCUAAAUGACAUGAAUUCCACACAGCUCUUUCAUUCCUUUUUUGUGGUGGCUAAUGAAGUUGCAGAGCAUCUCCACAGCACAGUGGGCCCACCAUAUUUUAGAAUGCUCUAAAUGUUAUUCUUCAUCUAACAAAAGCAAUAUCAGCUUUGGAAUGAAAAACCUAGUACUUUCUUGAUGCUAAGAUAACACAGGUGUUAACAUCUUUGUGUUAAAAGUGUAUACCUCUGUGCUGCUUUAGAAGCAUUCACUAAAUGAAUACAUUACUGCAGGUUGAGUAUUCCUUAUCCAAAUUUCCAAAAUUCUAAAUAUUUUAAAAUUCUAAAUUGUCCUUUUGGAUGGCUGAGAUAGCGACACCCUUGCUUUCUGACAGUUCAAUGUACACAAACUUUACUUUAUACACAAAAUUAUUUAAAACAUUGUAUGAAGUCAUUUUCAGGCUAGAUAGACAGACAGAUAGAUAGAUAGGAAACAUAAAUAAAAUUUGUCUUUAGAGACCAUCUUUAUGCAAGUACUCCAAAAUAUAAAGAGAUCCCAAAUGCAAAACACUCCUGGCUCAGAGCAUUUUGAAUGAAGGAUAACCAACCUGUACUGGCUCACAUUUCCAGUGCGGCCUACUGUUUUAAGUUAGAUCAAAGGCAAAUGCUGCAGCCAAUUAAACCACACCCAGAGACACUUAGGCGAUAUGGCAGAAGAGGAAAAGCAACAAGUUUUAUAGUCUUCCUGGAGAAGAGUUCAGAGCAGGUUCCCUCUGUGAACUCCCAGUGUAACAAUGCAACAAGUGCAGGUAUUGUGAACCCAGAGAAGACAGGUCAGAUAUAAUAACAGCAUUUAUUCAAGUAUUUAGGAAAAUAACCAAUUUAAUUUGGUUACAAAAAUUAUGAGUCUCACAGAAGUUUCCAAAGUGUCUUCCACACAACCCUGUAGUAGGUGGGUUCUACAGAAAGCACACUGUGCAUGAAGACUUCUGCAUCUCUUAGCUGUAUCCUAAGCUGGUAGGCAAAUAGCUAUGGCUAUCAUUCCCAAGGCUCUAUUUCUGGGCAAUCUCUUCAGUUCUAGCCAAAGGCACCUUUAAAGCCCUUACUGCACAUAUACCAAGAUCUGGUAAUGCAACCCUCACAGGUUUCUCAAAAACAAACUGUAGGACAGGAGAUUAACAAUUCUCCACCAGAAGCCAAUACCUGGCAAUCUUUAUAAAGGUCAGAGUUCUUUCCAUCCUGAUGAAGAAUAAUGGAGACCGGGAGAAGCUUUCGUUGGGAUGUUGAAGAUUUUGCCCAGACAUCUGUAGUUCAUUUUAGCUCAAGCCAAAACAAGUCCCAGAGAGUCCUUUGCAUCAAACAGGAGAGAUUAAAUCUUGGAAUUCCCCUUCACCCCAAACCCUGUCCACCAAAUGGGUUCCGAAGUGCUCCCACGAGGAUCCUAGUAAAGUGUGGUUGCUCCUCUGUAGGUGAUACAGGCGGCUGCCACUUUCCAGUAUUAUCUGUUGUUUUCUCAGGCACAAGUGGUGUUUUGAUGAAGUCACAUUGUGCAAGCUACUGCUCAUGAACCAUUCAUAUUUUUGCUGCUAGAAGGCAAGUGGGUGGUGUAGCAGUGUGUACACACGCGGACUGGUUUCAGUUGCCUGAAGUGGGGCAGAGGUGCCAGGUGUGACGAGCAACGAGAGCAAAAAAUCUGGAGAAAAAUAAAAUUGUGCAUUAAUAAUGGAUCAGGGGGGUUACCUGAUAUUGCAAGCACUGCUUCAGACACAAAGAAAAACAUGGCCUCUCAAUCAAGAUUUGAUCCAAUGUAACCUAGUACAGAACCUGGCAUGAAUGUUACCAGAUUCAUUUUAGUCCUCUUACAAACAAUAUACAGUCUGCCCACCACACCUGUGGAUUUAAUUUUCACAGAUUUGGUUGUGUUUGAUUAAUCCAGUGACUGCCUCAAUAAUAACAUAUAUUUCACGGGAUAGAGGAAAUAUGGGCUUCGCACCUUUUUACUGAUCUCAAAAAUUGUUUUUUUUUUCCUUGGGAAAAAAAUCUGCUUAAAGGUGCCCCAAAUUCCACCUACAGCAGUAUUCUCAUGCUAAAUAGUAAAACUCCCCAGUCUUUGCUGGUUUUCAGCCAAAAUAAUCUGACAAAAUGUUAAGUACAUUUCCAGUUAUGGACAGGCCUCAUUUAUGGUUGAUAUCCUUUUGGAAAAUCAGACUGUAGAGCUUUCCACAGGAGCUAAAUUAGACUAAACAACAGUCCAUAGUUAAAACAGAGACCAGCAUUGUCCCUCCAACCAUUAUGUUGGUUUGACCUCUCCCAAUGAAAAGGACUUUACAGAUCCUACAUAACGUUUUGUACCUUUCCACAACUCCGGCAAUGAUGGCGUCGCCGAAGAAAUGUGAAAGGUUGACGGCAGGCCAUACAGUGGCUGCAAGUACUGUCUGGCACCCAUUCUGGUGGCCCCAAAGCACCUGGAAAGAAGCAGAAGGGCAGGUGUUGAGCUAGCUGUGCAUCUGAGGUCAAUCAGAGCCGCAACAUCUCAGCUGAAAGGUUUUAAGAAAACAUGUAAAUUCAUCGAGCCUCCUCUGACCACUAUAUUCAUAAAUAGCUGAGAACAGUAACAACAAAGGUGUGCUAAUCUAUUUCAACAUAAAAACAAGAUGGAUGGGGGGAAGAAAUAUAGUAGCACCUGUAAGGCUGAUUUAUUUAAACACGAACUUUUGUGGAUUUCAACUUCUUUUUUUCAUUACAUCUCAUCCUAUAACAACCAAAAUUUACUCUUAAAUGUGCUGCUAACUUUUAUCCCUCCGCCCCGCAAUUGCUUUCAGGUAAAGAGAUUCACUUAAUGGCAAAGAAGUAGGGCAGAGAGUUGGGGGAGGGAGGUUAUAGAGUUCCACAUUAAGAUUCAUCUGGCCAGGAACCAAGUUUCAGAAUAGGACAGACUCAAACCCAACAGGGUCUCAAGUGGGAAAUACCCGUAAUAAAGCAACAACUGGACUUUGAGCAGGAUCUCCAGUAUGAAAAACAAAACUCCACCUUGGCAAAAUCUGCUGUCCCAUCUUCUGCCUAAAAAAUAUUUGAACAUGCUGUGUACUUUUCUUGAAGGUCAGGCAGAGAGAAUGACUGACUGGAUCAAGCAAUUUUCCCUCAGACAGCGAUCAUGCCCAAACAGGCCUGUAAAUGACCCAUUCCACAUUCUGUGUUCUCACCUUCUCUGCCAUUGCCUUCUCUGCUAUUGGAACAGAGAGCACAGUUUUGUGUUUGAGAAUCUGUUGGCACCACGCAUCUCUCUGUCUCUGAAAAUGAAAAAAGGAGAGAAUUAUUAUGAAGCAGGUUGCUACCAUGCCACAAAAAAUGCCUGCACAAAUGCAAUUAUGCCAUAUCCAAGAUGCAGAUUGCAUAACUAGCACAGAAGUUUGUAGACUGCUUCCAUUAUUAUUAUUAUUAUUAUUAUUAUUAUUAUUAUUAUUAUUAUUAUUAUUAUUAUUAUUAUCACCCUUUAUGAAAAAUGGAAGAGAUCAAUCUAUGUGGUAUGUAGAAUCUGAACAAAUGUCCAAAUACUGUAUAUUUGCAGUGGGGAGUGUGAAUUUAGCAUUUGGUGCUGGUGGUGGGGGAAGUUAACUAUUUCUAUCACAAAGCUUUGCCAUUCUAAAUAUUCUUCUUCUAAACCUGAUUUUUCCCCCGUUGCAAAAAAAAAAAAAAGGAGGAUCAAGAAAAGUGAAGGAAACAUUCAGUUUCCCCUUAGUGCUGAUCUUUAUUAUAUCCAGAAGGUGACUGCAUUACAAAUUAAAAAAAAAUCAAAAUACUCUGAGAUUUCACAUUGCUCUAGUAUAGUGUAACUAUCUGCCCAUAGAAUUCUAUUUAUUUAUUAUUUAUUUACUUUAUUCUUAUUCCUCCUUUCUCCCAAUAUAGGGACUCAAGGCGGUUAACAGCAAAAAUGAUGCAAUAAUAUUACCCAACAUCUAUGAUGAAUAUCAAUGUCGUACAGCCUAUGGUUAAUAUGCAUGGCUACCAAUUCACGUGCAAUGUACAAUACGCAAAAGUAAUGCAUAGAGGCAAUGUGUUUUUAUAUGUUCCUUUAUGUAUUAAUGCAUGUGCAUGAUUCAGCUUAUGCCACCACUAGUUGGCUAUGACCGUUAUUGUCCAAAAAUAUUACUUAGCAAAUGUAACAUAAGUAACAAUUGUGUAUGUCACUAACAGGAUGAUGGUCAUUUUGUAUAAAAUGUACAUGUUAGUCAAAAAUGUGUUGGGGAACUUUUGUAGGUAUUGAGUGAAGGAAUUUUCUGCUUUUGGGAUGCUCUGAGGAGACCACCAGAAUUUUUUUUUAAAAAAAUUGCCGGUGAAGGAAAAAAAUCUAACAGUAGCCAGAGAUCCACUUCUUGUUUUGAAAUACAUUUUUAAAUAGUUCAAGAAUGCAGCAGAAGGGAGAAAUGUCCUGCCAUUUACUUAAAAAGUGAAUUGUGAUCCUGGAGGGUUCCAGGAAGGGCAAUUCAUUAUUGCAAUUAUUGUUGUUAGAAAAAAGGCAGUCCAGGAAACUCAUGAAGGCCACAAAAACAGUCCUGGGAGGUCAGAUUUUGUCUGCUCUGAAAGCAGGGGAUAGAAAGAAAUAAAAUCUCAUAGAACACAUCUCAUGAUUCAUGAAUCUCAUGAUUCAUGAAUCUCAUGAAUCACUUCAGGCAUGUGGUCCAUUGAGAAUUUUUUUUCCUAAGUUCAUUGUUGCUAGCAUGCCUGCUAUGACAAAUCCAAAAGACAAAGGGGAAGAAAACAGAAUUAAGCAAACCCAAUUACAACCACCAAAUAGGCUUUCAAUAGCAGCAAUGUUAAUGGCACUUUGGCUUAGACAUCAAGAAAACUAGCAGACUUCUAAAUAGACAGUUAUAAAGAUGAUCUGCAACUUUUCCAUCUUUUCUUCUUAACAGAUUUUUUUGGUUAACAAAAAUGGAAGAAGGAAGAGAAAACAGAAGAAGGUUAGUGAUAGAAGAUGCCAUUAUCUAGACCUCCAUAAAAUUCUGUAAACAAGACAGGGUAAUUGCACAAUAAAACUGUUGUCUGGAAUGAUCCUAUAAUUCUGAAACUCCCUUCUAGGGACUAUUGUGCUGUGUCAACAUGUAACCAAUGGAGAAGAACAAUAAGCUUUCUUGGGCCCCUUCAUACAUCUCAGUCUUACUGUACCUAGGUAAAUCCCCAUGAAGUAGCACGGGUGGCAGGAUAGGUCAUACCAAGCCGAGUCUACUCCUGUCACUUUGGGGCUCAAACUGAGGCAGCGGAUUUAUGCUUUAAAACCAGACAAGCCCCUACACUUAGACAAGCCCCUACACUUCAACACUUUAAGAGUUAAAAACUUGUUUUUUCCAACAGGCAUUUGAUAACGUUUAGACAGUAACCAGAACUGAUUGCUAAUCACUUAGCACUUUAUAUCUACACUAGCUGUGCCCGGCCACGCGUUGCUGUGCCGUUGUCUGGUGCUGUUGGUGAGAAAUUGUUGAGGUAGUGGUGGUAUUGAAUGUCUGUUGUAUGGUUGUCUUUAUGUUUAGUAUGCACACUGAAGUGGAUUAUAUGGCAGUGUGGAGUCAAGAUAAUCCAGUUCAAAGCAGAUAAUAUAAGAUAAUAUAAGAUUCUAAAUGGGUUAUUAUAGCUGUGUGGAAGGGCCUUGAGUCUACACUGCCAUAUAAUCCAGUUCAAAUCCUAAGUGAGGCCUAACUGUGCCUGUCCCCUGGGCUGAGUAGGUUGCUAGGAGACCAAGUGGGCGGAGCUUAGCCUUCAAACUGGCAGCAAUUGGAUAAAAAUUAUUAUUCCUCUCCCUGUAAUUAGGACUUUAUUUUUCUUUUCUUUUUGUUGUAUCAACCUAGAGGCAUGAAUGAUGGGUUGUGUUGUCAAAUUUCGAGGUUGGGGGGCCUGUAGUUUUGUUGUUUUGUCCGCUGCCCUGAUGCCAUCACUCUUUUAUAUAUAUAGAUUCUAUGCAUUCAGCUGAGCUGCAAUGCUUACAUGGAUCUUUUAACUGAUUCUAUUUUAAUAGAGGUUGUUUUAUCCAAUUUAUAUAUCUGGUUUAUGUAAUGUUAGUAUUGUUUUCAUGUUGAUAUAUUUUAUUUUAUGUAUUAUCUAUUUUAUGUAUGGCAUCUCUGUAUGCUAUUUUGUAAGCCGCCCCGAGUCCUUAUGUGAGAUGGUGAUGAGGUAUAAAGUUUUAUUAUUAUUUUAUUAUUAAAGGAACAGCAUCACUUAGAAAUAACUUGCUUAACUUAGAUUGUUUUAUUCAGACAGGCAUUUUAAAAUUAGAACCCCUGGCAAUAUGUUUAGUUUGCUGCUGUGGAUAUACUUUUAUAAAACAAUUUUAUUGCUGUUUAUUUAAUUGUGAUCAGACAGUUUUAAAACUGAUAUGUGUAUGCAUGUGUGCAUAUGCAUGGGCCUCCAUCAAACCGAUUUUCAUCAUAAAAGUACGUUAACAAAACGGAAAUAGGUAUUUUAAUGAGAAAUAUCUAGGCAUCCACUCAGAGAUUUAUAUCCCUCUCUUCAAAUUCAUUUUCAUUGUUCUGCCUGGCUCAGAACAACAAAAUCUGCACUUCAUAAUAAAAAAACUUGAACAACAAUAUAAAACCAGGCUCAGCAUAUAAAAAGCCACAGAGAGGAAUUGGGAUACAAAACCACAGUAUCCCAACCUUCAGUGCAAAACCUUGCCAGGACAAGAAUGUUUUUAACCAACAAAGAGAAAGCAGAAAGAGAAGGCAGCAACUGCAGAAGCAGACAACUUGUGGCCUGCCAGAUCUUGUUGGAUUGCCAUUCCUGUCAUUCCUUGCCAACAUAGCCAAUAGUAUAGGUGUUGGGAAUUUAUACUGGAAAACAUCUGGAGGUCAACAAACUGCCCACCCAUUAUAGGAGAAGUAUUCCAUAAUCUCUAAACAUUGCCAAGAGUUGGAAAAUACAUGUGGUUGCCAUAAUCAUUACAGCAUCAUGGCUUAAACUGUCUCAGUGAGAUAGCAGCAGUUUCAACCCAGGAGCACUUUGUGCUCUUACUUUCUUUAGUCCUUGGUUUUUCAUCCUGCUUUGCUUGCAAACACUAAAGAAAAGGACUAUGAAACCACACAUAACUUGAGGAGAUUUACUCACGGCCAGUGUCAGUCACCACCAGUUCCUCUGUUCGGGAUGUCACAAUUUUGAACACACUCUUCAGAAUGGCACGCAGGUCACUUGCAAAGUUCGUCUGGAGCUGGUCUGCCACUCCUGUCCAUAUACAAAACACCAGCUCAGCUCAGUUAUAUCAAUGACACAUUGAUUCAAGAGAUGAUAGCAGAUCUCAAUCAACAAACAUAACACUCCUCCUUCAAACAGAAGCCAGCCCAUUGUGAGUGCUGAACAAUGAAUUCUUUCCAUUUGCAUUCUCAACCAGAUAGCAAACUAUUUUCACCAAAUAUUUCCAACCAAUGCAAUCAAAUGGCUUAUUAGGCUCAACUGCUGGCAGUGUAGUGUAGCACAAAAAUGCUUUUGUUUUUAUUUGAAAGCUAAGUAAGUUACAGCCGCUUGCAAAUGUGUUCGCAUGAAUAUAAUAGUUAUAAUUGUUAUAAUCAUUAUAAUACAAUAUAUAAUAGUUACUACUCUCUCAUUAUUUACUUUGCCAAUAGUUGCCAUCUUCUGAGCCACAGAGGAUUUCAUCAGAGUGCAAAACAACAAACAACAAGUACCACAGACUGAUUCAGUUAGUUCUAUUUUAAAGUAAAGUUCUUCUUACUUUACUUUACUUUGGUAUAGGCCCUCUACCCUAUACAAGAUUAUUUCAUCCCGAGUGGCUUCCCAAAUCUCGUUAUUACUGUUUCUAAUCAGGAUCAACUUCUCAGUUUCCUUGGGAGAAAUAGUACAUGUGUCCCCUUCUUGCUAAUAUUAUCAGCUUGUUUCACAAAUUCGGAUGAAAAGAGGGCCAUCACGUCUCUUAUGUCCUGAACAUGUUUCUUUCAUAAGUAGCACUUGAUCCCUCAUCUGGUUAGUUCACAUUGGUGGAUUGCAAAGGAUGGUAUGCCUGUUUAAGUCUCCUUUGCAACCAAAAUAUCUAAGUGCAAUUCACUACCCCAAGAGUACCAUGAAAUAUAGAUAAUAUAAAACCCCGGAUUAUUUGCCUUUGGCAAAAAAAGUUGUUGGACUCACCAGAGAUGCAGACAAACAGCGUGUGAAUCAUGUCCUCUGUAUUGCUGUAGCGGGCUCGCAGCUCCAUCCUCCGGGUGCUCUGUGGAACUCCUGUGAUCACUCCUACUGGGAUGCUAGUAGCCUCUUGCCCAAGAUGCCUGUCAGGAGAACAAGCAGUUAGAACACACACUAAACUUACUCCUUUACCUUCUAUCCCUUUCACAGAACAAGAGUGGAGAAACUGCAAUCUCUCCUAGAUUUCUUAGUGCAAGUUAAUGAACUGCAAAAGCAAGGCCAUUCUUUGACACUGGCGAUGCAUGUGGCCCCCACAUCAGCUCAAGGCCAGACAGAAUUCCUCCAUUCUCCUUAUCGUGUUUCAGAGAGAGUGCCACAAAAUUCUAAAAUACUGAAGACAAGAUUCAAGGAAGCUUCAGCCAAUAAAGUCACUGCCCAGAAUUAGCAAGGCAUGUGCAGGGUUAUUUAUAACAGCCUGACCUGCAGGUCUCUCUUUCAUAGGAUCGCCAUAAAUCGGAAACAACUUGAAGGCAAUUGGCUUCCUCUUUUGUUCUCUUCUCUUUGUCUGUUUCUCUCUCACACACAAACACACAGAUCAUUCAGCCCCCAGAGAUGUUAGGCUAUUUUUAGUGUUGUUGUUGUGUGCUUUCAAUUAUUUCCAACCUAUGGCAACCCUAAGGUGAAUCUAUCACAGUGUUUUCUUGAGAAGGUUUGUUUGGAGAGGGGCCAGGGGGUUGCCUUGUUGCUUUUGCCUUCCUCUAAGGCUGAGAGAAUGUGACUUGCCCAAAGUCACCCACUGGGUUUCCAUGGCCAUGUGGAAAUCUGAACCCUAGCCUCCAGAACUAGAGUCCAAUGCUCACUGCACUAUACUCGCUCUCAUUGUUGAAGCAGAUUUCAUAUACCAUCUCAUUAUAUGCAGGUCUUUACUAUUUUGGCUUUAAAUAUUUUAGUGUCAAACAAGGACUCAAGCACAUUCUGAAACAUGGAAUUCCAUAUGUUACUUACCUGCUCAGUUAUCUGUACUCUGUGCCCAAGUUUUCUUUAAACUCCAGCCCAUUAAAAAAAAUCAAUAUUAUUGCUCCAUUCAUGAACAAAUUAUCUGGGAUAUGAAUGGCAUUUCAAAUCCACCUCUACUUUAUAAAUAUAGAAGGACUUCCUUUUUUUUACGUAAGACAAAAGACAUAUCAAAAAGCAAGGCUCCCCCAAAACAUGACAUCUGAUGUUCAGAUAAAUUUCUGUUCUGGCAUAUAACCCUGAUUUGCAAAUCCCCGACACCAGGAUAGGAAGAAGUACACUGAAAUCUAUGGCAGAAUGAGUAACAACUGAAUGGCAACAUUUGUGGGAAACGGGAGAGAUGGAUAUGUGAAAUGAUGUGUCAAUUUGAUUCUGACCAAUAAAACUUGUGUUGUGGAUGUG